CUCAGAAUCAGAUGAAGUCAGAAGAAGAUGGAAUAGAAGGUCAUCCUACAAGAAGAACAGUAGGAGCUUGACUUAUGAUAAUUCUGUGUUCAAAUCUCAGGAGCUGGGUAUUCUUGGGCAAGUGACUUCAUUGUCUCUUGCCCUCAGUUUUCCCACCUACAAAAUGGGAUAACAUCUACCUUGCCAAACCAUUGUGAUGCCCAAAUGAGAUGGUGCCUAACACGGUACCCAAAACAGACCAAGAGUAUAUAUCGGGUUUUCACCCUGCCAACCUCAGGCUCCUGAUGUCUGCCACUUCCCUAUAGGAACCUCGCCAGCCAAGCCACCUCUUGUUCUCUUGAUUGCCUUCAGUGACAGACCAGCUUUGGUCUCCAUGGUUGCCUAGCUCUGUUCAUUGGACAGCUAAUUUCCAUUGCCUGCAGGUCUCCACUUGGCAUUGACAAGAGCUGCCACUGAGGCUGCACUAUCAAAGCACCUGAGCUCUCUCUCCAUGUUGCCUGGGAUGCCCACAAAACUCUAAGUUUCCCUUUGUCAGUUCCUGGGAAAGAGUGGCUACAUUUUCUGAAAGCUCCACAUGGUGUCAGUGGUCAGAUGCCAACUGAGUAAAUUAUUACAGAGACUCCAAAAGGCUGCUCAGAUUCUUCCACCAGCUGUGAUCUCUUAAGGGCAAUACCUAGGUCUCAUUCAGCUCUGCCUCUUCAGGGUCCACAUCUAUUUAUGGACAGUAGGUACUCCUGUAUCUUGAGAAGUACAUGUACACUUGGGCUUGCUUGUUGUUGUGGGAAGGGUGUGCCUUCGGUAACCAUGUCCCAGAAAGAGGAUGAGAGACAUGGCCAGAUCUGCAUCCUCUAA
RNAcentral lists this long non-coding RNA (852 nucleotides) under Fukomys damarensis (Damara mole-rat). Its description in RNAcentral is "lncRNA (ENSFDAG00000033216.1)". The record is from RNAcentral. Lineage: Eukaryota; Metazoa; Chordata; Mammalia; Rodentia; Bathyergidae.